RNAcentral lists this non-coding RNA (24 nucleotides) under Arabidopsis thaliana (thale cress). Lineage: Eukaryota; Viridiplantae; Streptophyta; Magnoliopsida; Brassicales; Brassicaceae. The record is from RNAcentral.
CAUCCUUCGUUCCAUUUGUUUCCU